RNAcentral lists this ribosomal RNA (265 nucleotides) under uncultured archaeon. Its description in RNAcentral is "partial 16S ribosomal RNA". It matches the Rfam family "Archaeal small subunit ribosomal RNA", at positions 719 to 982 of the family's 1478-position model. The record is from RNAcentral.
ACACGACUACAUUAGAUACCCGUGUAGUCCAGGGUGUAAACGAUGCGCGUUAGGUGUAUCGGUGACCACGAGUCACCGAGGUGCCGAAGGGAAACCGUGAAACGUGCCGCCUGGGAAGUACGGCCGCAAGGCUGAAACUUAAAGGAAUUGGCGGGGGAGCACCACAACGGGUGGAGCUUGCGGUUUAAUUGGAUUCAACGCCGGAAAUCUUACCGGGACCGACAGCAACAUGAAGGCCAAGCUGAAGACUUUGCCGGAUUAGCUG